UGCGUGUCGUUCCCCUUCUCUGGGAUGGGAGGCAGCUGCCACGGGCCUCUGAAAGAGGUGCCUGGAGGCAAAGACAUUGCAAGUCUGAACUUCGUUCUGGGCCAAGCUGUGUGCCCACAGGAGCGGGCAAACCGGGCUGAGAAGCAGCAAGAAGGACAAGCUCGGGUAGGAGAAAAGGGGCAGAAAAAGAGUGACACUGUGGCUUCCUUGAUGUUGCAGCACCCCUCUACGGCCCCUCCCAAUCCACAGAGCCUCUGACCAGCACCAGUCUUGCUGCCUGUGCUGGGGGCACUUGGAACAUUGGUUAGCAGGAGCAACAGGCCUGGCACUGCCAACUAGGUUCAGGGAAGAGAGAAAUGGGCUGAGCUGCUGCUCCUGGUACUACUGGGCCAUGGAUGAAGGCACCAGACUAGAAGUCCAGAGCCCUAGCCAGGGGCGGCAGGAGGGAAGGACUACCAGUUAUUGUGUACCUAUUCUGUGCCUAGCCCCGCAGGAGGCACUUGAAUGUUUCUCAUUUAGUCACAUACAUUUAUUGAGCACCUACCACAUGCCAGGCAUUGUCCUGAUGGGAUGCAGUGGUGAGCAAGGUUCCUGCUCUCAUAACAACCCUGGGAGGUAGGCCCUAUUGUCAUCCCCAUUUUACAGAUGAGAAAAUCAAGGCUCAAUACAGUUUCAUGAUUUAUCACAGCUAGUGAGUGUGGGAGGAGGGAUUCUGGGCCCUGACCUAACUCGUAAGCCUUCGUUUUUCAGGCUACCUUUCACAGCCAUGACCACUUUUCUAAUAGCCCCCAGGCUUAGCCUUGCCUCCUGGGCAGGGCUAUGGCUGCCCCUUUUGUUGGAGUGUUGGAGACCCUGCCUCAACUUGUUUCCACCCAUCCCUCCAAGCCAGAGCUUAGCCAUAUAACAGGAGCUCGGUAAUGAACCCUCCUGGGUGCAAUGCUGGGUGGUGACCCAGAGUCACCUUCUCCAUCCCCUUUGCACUGACAGCCACUCUUUUGGGGCAGGCAGAUGAAGAGACUGAGGUUCCAAGAGUGUCUGUCACUUGCCCAAUAUGGAGAGGUACAACCAGACAGUCCCAAGAGGCCCUGGUACCUUGCCCUGGCUCCCAAGGGAGGAACCAGCUGAGGGUAGCAUGUCCUGGCCCCAAAGCUGACUGCUACCAUGCUGUCCCAUGUCUCUACCCACUGUUCCCAGUGAAGACUGAGGCCCUGUCCCCUGCCAGGGGCCAGGCAACAGGGACACCUUUCUUCUUGCUUCUGGGCCAACAGCCACAGCCCUGGGACGCAGAGCCCAGACAUGCCUGGUGACUUCAGGGCUGAUGCUCCCUCCCUUCCUCCCACCCCGUCGCUCACUCCCCAUGUUGUUCCGGAUGGAGUGGGGCUGUGCCCUGACAGGCAGCCAGUCCGCUGUCUGGCCAUCAUCUCCUGUCCCUGAGGAAAUUCCCAGAAUGCACCCUGGAAGGAACGGAAAAAAGCAGCAAAGAAAGUGAGAAAGAAAAAGCAACAGAGAACAGACAGAAACGACCAAAUUUGAUGCCAAGAGGCUGAGAAGUGCAGAAGCGGGUGGCAGGGGUCCCCAGGAGGUUGAUUUGUCCCUCUCGUGGUGGGGUCACCAGAGCCUGGAGUGGGAGUGAAGCCUUGAGGCUCUGGCCACCUCUCCCUUGCCAACUCCAUGCUACCCCCUAGUGGCCUCAGUGUCAGCUGCAGGACCAGGACUGGGGAUGUCGGAGGGGACCUGUCCGGGCGGCAGGGAGCCCCACUUAUUGCUUUCCUAACGUUCCUCUGCCCCUCUCUCUGUCUGUUUCCCUAGGCCUCUGCGGGAGAAGAUGAAGCCGGAAAGGAGGAGACCCAAGGGCAGGGGGAAGAGGAGGAGAGAGAAGCAGAGACCCACAGACUGCCACCUGUGAGUGUGCGGGGUCCCAGGGAUGGCGAGGAGGCUGGGCCCGAGGGGAGCCCCGCCUUGCCGCCAGGGUUAGGUUGGGGAGGGGGAGAGGCAGGACUGAGGCCAGUCUUGGGGGCAGAACAGGGAGCUGCACCUCCUCAAGACUGUAGGGCCCAGGAAGCAUCAGUGGACCUUGGUUUUUGUCCCGGCUUAGCCCUAGGUUUCCAUUGACCUUGAACAAAUCAUUUCACCUUUGUCAGCCUAGCUUUUCUCUGUGUAGAAUGAGGGGCAGGAGGUCCAGCAAACAUUCAGUCACUCUACAAACAUUUACUGAGCACUUACUGUGUGUCAGGUACAUCUGUGAGCAAACAAACAGGAUUCCUGCACAUUAGUGUUUACCUUUUAGUGAUUAAAAGUCUGUCAUCAGCUGAGACGUUAUCUGGGGCCACUUCCUAGUAGCCCCGGGGAACAUGUGCCCCUCGCCACUGUCUCCCAGGAGUAUUUUUGCCUGUGGGUCCCCUUGCUGCUUCUAACCCACUUCGUACCUUGUGGGCAGCAGAAUGGAGCCCCAGGCCUGAGUGUGGCUGGGAGAGAAGGAUGAGAGGAGGGAAAACCCAAAUCUGUGAGAGUAAAUAGAAAAAAUAAAAUAUUUCACAUGCACAGUCAAUCAGUCACUGAAGAGAGGUGGCUCUCCUUCAGGGGCUAAGCCUCCCCCACGCACAUGACUCCAGGAAGUCAUUUCGUGCUAUGGAGUGGAGUUGACCCAAGCCCUGACCCCAUGAGCCCCACUCCAUGAAGACAGGGAUCCUGGGGACUGCGCCCCCUAGGGGUUUAUGCUCUCAUCUCUUUUCUGGGCCCGCGCGGCAAUUUGGGGAACAAGCUGGCAGGGAAGUCCAUCCAGGCCCGAGUUACCCGCCGGCAGCCGGAGGCAGCAAGUGUCCCAUGGCUCCUGUUCCCAAGGCAGCAGUCUUCAGACAUUUCACUCGGGAAUCUCCUGAAAGAAUUUCAAAAGUGGCCGGGCGCGGUGGCUCACACCUGUAAUCCCAGCACUUUGGGAGGCCGAGGUGGGUAGAUCACUUGAGGUCAGAAGUUCGAGGCCAGCCUGACCAACACGGUGAAACCACAUCUCUACUAAAAAUACAAAAUUAGCUGGGCGUGUUGGUGCAUGCCUGUAAUCUCAGCUACUUGGGAGGCUGGGGCAGGAGAAUCGCUUGAACCCGGGAGGCGGAGGUUGCAGUGAGCCGAGAUCAUGCCACUGCACUCCAGCCUGGGUGACAGAGCAAGACUCCAUCUCAAAAAAAAAAAAAAAAAAAGAAUUCCAAAAGCCCAUGUGCUCCCUUGCCCAUUCUUAAGUUGACAUUGAACAUUUUCAUCAGAAUUAUAAGUCAAGCCAGGCUCAGUACCUCAUGCCUGUAAUUCUAGCACUUUGGGAGGCCAAGGCGAGUGGAUCGCUUGAGGCCAGGAGUUCAAGCCCAGCCGGGGCAACAUGGUGAAACCUCGUCUCUACAAAAAAAAUACAAAAACUAGCUGGACGUGGUGCCAUGUGCCUGUAGUCCCAACUACUCAGGAGGCUGAGGUGGAAUGAUCACCUGAGCCUGGGAGGUCAAGGCUGCAGUGAGCCGAGAUAGAUCCAUUGCACUUCAGCCUGGGUGACAGAGUAAGAACCUGUCUC
Molecule: small RNA, 3553 nt
Filed under: Pan troglodytes (chimpanzee)
Lineage: Eukaryota; Metazoa; Chordata; Mammalia; Primates; Hominidae
Description: retained intron
Source: RNAcentral